UUAAUGAGCUGUAUGAUGACAGAUUGGAACUGACAAUCCAAUGGUGGAGGGUCCAUUCAAUCCAACUCUGAACCUUUUGAG
This is a small nucleolar RNA of Rana temporaria (common frog), 81 nucleotides long. RefSeq annotates it as small nucleolar RNA SNORD69. The record is from RefSeq and is a predicted model, not a curated record. Lineage: Eukaryota; Metazoa; Chordata; Amphibia; Anura; Ranidae. The transcript has a single exon.